CGGGGAGGAGGGAGCAAGGGAGAGAACGGCGGCGUGGGUCUGGGAUUGAGGUGAGGAGAAGGGAGAGAAGGGGCUAAGUCUACGUGAGGAGCGUCGGCGGUGGGUGGAGGGUGGAGGCCAAGUCAGCUAGGGCGGCGGUCGCGGGCGCGCGGUGGUGGGCAAGGAGGAGCGGAAGGUCUAGCGCGGCGGUGGGCCGUUGAGGUUGGAGAGUGGGUGGUGGCAGCGGGGAGGGGAGUGGAAGAGGUGGCCGCUGGAGCGGAGGGAGGCGGCGGCGGGUGUGGGUGAAUUGGAGACGAAGUGGAGUGGCAGAGGGGGAUGGGAUCCAGGGUCUAGGUCGCCCAGUCGGCCGCCGGUACCGCGAGGGGCUAACUGGUGCCUAGGUUCUGGUGCAGGCGGAGGAAGGACGAGCUGGUUCUAGUUCUGUUGCGUGCGGUGACGAAGGAAAGAGCCCGCCCCGACAGGCCACCCACCGGAAACUGCGGCGAGAAGGAAGCUGCGGUACCUUCCAUCCGCUCGCUUGGUCUAGGUCGAACAUGUCCGCAUGUUGAGGAGGAGGAGUAGCAGAACAGAAGAACCGGCCGGACCUUCCGCUACCGCCCCGGCGACCUCAAGGACCUCCGCGUCACGAGCUGUGCCGUCCACGACGGCCUGACCGUGUGGCUGGAGAUGGUGGCCUCCGAGAUCGUGGUCGAGUGGGAGUUCGAGGUCGUCAAGGAGUGGGAGCGGCAGCAGGUCCAGGCCAACUGAGCUAGUCAGGG
This 758-nucleotide ribosomal RNA is filed under the name Triticum aestivum (bread wheat). RNAcentral's name for it is "partial small subunit ribosomal RNA". The record is from RNAcentral. Lineage: Eukaryota; Viridiplantae; Streptophyta; Magnoliopsida; Poales; Poaceae.